This 486-nucleotide ribosomal RNA is filed under the name uncultured bacterium. RNAcentral's name for it is "partial 16S ribosomal RNA". It matches the Rfam family "Bacterial small subunit ribosomal RNA", at positions 30 to 507 of the family's 1533-position model. The record is from RNAcentral.
AUUGAACGCUGGCGGCAUGCCUUACACAUGCAAGUCGAACGGCAGCACGGGUGCUUGCACCUGGUGGCGAGUGGCGAACGGGUGAGUAAUACAUCGGAACAUGUCCUGUAGUGGGGGAUAGCCCGGCGAAAGCCGGAUUAAUACCGCAUACGAUCCACGGAUGAAAGCGGGGGACCUUCGGGCCUCGCGCUAUAGGGUUGGCCGAUGGCUGAUUAGCUAGUUGGUGGGGUAAAGGCCUACCAAGGCGACGAUCAGUAGCUGGUCUGAGAGGACGACCAGCCACACUGGGACUGAGACACGGCCCAGACUCCUACGGGAGGCAGCAGUGGGGAAUUUUGGACAAUGGGCGAAAGCCUGAUCCAGCAAUGCCGCGUGUGUGAAGAAGGCCUUCGGGUUGUAAAGCACUUUUGUCCGGAAAGAAAUCCUUGACUCCAAUACAGUCGGGGGAUGACGGUACCGGAAGAAUAAGCACCGGCUAACUACGUG